UACGAAGGGUGCAAGCGUUACUCGGAAUUACUGGGCGUAAAGCGUGCGUAGGUGGUGAGUUAAGUCUGUCGUGAAAGCCCCGGGCUCAACCUGGGAAUGGCGAUGGAUACUGGCUCGCUAGAGUGCGGUAGAGGAGAGUGGAAUUCCCGGUGUAGCAGUGAAAUGCGCAGAUAUCAGGAGGAACACCGAUGGCGAAGGCAGCUCGCUGGGACGGUACUGACGCUGAGGCGCGAAAGCGUGGGGAGCAAACAGG
This 253-nucleotide ribosomal RNA is filed under the name uncultured bacterium. Its description in RNAcentral is "partial 16S ribosomal RNA". It matches the Rfam family "Bacterial small subunit ribosomal RNA", at positions 524 to 776 of the family's 1533-position model. The record is from RNAcentral.